AAAUCGCUCGCAUAGCUGCCAGCAGCUGGUGCUUGGCAUUUUUCACAAAGUAUCGGGUUGUUGAGCGUUGCGGACGUGUGUUGACCUGAACGCGGGCGUCAAUCGGAUAUUAAAGUGAAAGAAAAAUAAAUUCAAUAAAACUUAAAAACAGCUAAGUAGCAAUUUGAGGAAUUGGACAAAUUGACAAAAAAAUUUGUAAAAAAUACGUAAAAGGAAAUAAAUAAAUCAUUAAAAGAAAAUAAAUAAAUAAAAUUAUCUAAAAAAUAGGUGUUUAGCUAAGAACACAAAAACAAUAACAAAUAUACAUUCAACAAAGCGAUUAGCGGCUUGGCGCUUGUGUAAAUUUAUUUGAUUUCAGCCAGCUGUUGAGUACUAAAAAAGUAAAGGGCAAUUAAACGCCGAUAAAAGCAAAAACAACCUACAAAACAGAAGGCCAAGUAAAAGCAAAAUAACAAUAAAAGAAAAACAACCAAAAGCAAACAUAAAAUACUGUAAAAUAGAAACAAAAAAAUUAAAAAAAACAUGCGUUAAAAAUUCCAAAAUUACAGCUGUGCAAUAUCCGCAUAUAUUGAGGAAAUACCAUCACUCCAACACAUACAUCAAAACACACACACGUACAUGGCAGCUUAAACAGCUGUAGGCAGUCAACAAUAACUCCUACGCAACGCAGAAACUACAAAGAAAAAAUUGUGUGAAAUUUCACAGAAAAAUUUCGUUGAAAUCAAAAAAAAAUUUAUAAAAAUAAAAAAAGAAUAUUGCGAAUAUUCGCAAUCAAAUGAAUUAAACAAUAAUAAUAAAAUAUGCCAAAGUGAUUUGUAUACAAUACUGUAACCAAGCGUUGAAGAGUGCGAGUAAAAUGGCUAAGUAAACAAAGGUAAGGAAAAUUGCGAAAAAAGUUGUGAAAAAAAACAAUAAAAAUAAACAUUGUGAGGGAAAUAAAAGGAAAUACAUAAAAAAAUCGAUGGGCAAUAAAAUCGAUUGAAUAAAUAUAGCUGUCUGUGUGUGAGUGACGAUAUUUAGUGGGGGAAAAAUUGCGAAUAGCUGAAGGUGUGUCAUAAAACCUAGUUUAAAUAAAACAAUUAGGAAUAGCGAGCGAGAGUGUUGAAGAUAUGUUGAAAGUGGCAAUCUCCGUAAUUAAUAACUAAAAAUAAAUGAAAUGUUAACUGAAAAAUAAAUUAAAAAAAAAAAACUGCUGUAUAUAGUUGUGAAGCAA
Long non-coding RNA from Anastrepha ludens (Mexican fruit fly), 1213 nucleotides. RefSeq lists it as uncharacterized. The transcript has 2 exons. NCBI's taxonomy places the organism in Eukaryota, Metazoa, Arthropoda, Insecta, Diptera, Tephritidae. The record is from RefSeq and is a predicted model, not a curated record.